RNAcentral lists this ribosomal RNA (922 nucleotides) under uncultured Actinomycetes bacterium. Its description in RNAcentral is "bacterial SSU rRNA". It matches the Rfam family "Bacterial small subunit ribosomal RNA", at positions 550 to 1472 of the family's 1533-position model. The record is from RNAcentral. Lineage: Bacteria; Bacillati; Actinomycetota; Actinomycetes.
AUUAUUGGGCGUAAAGGGCUCGUAGGCGGUUUGUCGCGUCGGGAGUGAAAACCAGGUGCUUAACACCUGGCUUGCUUUCGAUACGGGCAGACUAGAGGUAUUCAGGGGAGAACGGAAUUCCUGGUGUAGCGGUGAAAUGCGCAGAUAUCAGGAGGAACACCGGUGGCGAAGGCGGUUCUCUGGGAAUGACCUGACGCUGAGGAGCGAAAGUGUGGGGAGCGAACAGGAUUAGAUACCCUGGUAGUCCACACCGUAAACGUUGGGCGCUAGGUGUGGGGUCCAUUCCACGGAUUCCGUGCCGCAGCUAACGCAUUAAGCGCCCCGCCUGGGGAGUACGGCCGCAAGGCUAAAACUCAAAGGAAUUGACGGGGGCCCGCACAAGCGGCGGAGCAUGCGGAUUAAUUCGAUGCAACGCGAAGAACCUUACCUGGGUUUGACAUACACCCUGCCGCUCCAGAGAUGGGGCUUCUUUUGGGGGUGUACAGGUGGUGCAUGGCUGUCGUCAGCUCGUGUCGUGAGAUGUUGGGUUAAGUCCCGCAACGAGCGCAACCCUCGUUCUAUGUUGCCAGCACGUAAUGGUGGGGACUCAUAGGAGACUGCCGGGGUCAACUCGGAGGAAGGUGGGGAUGACGUCAAGUCAUCAUGCCCCUUAUGUCCAGGGCUUCACGCAUGCUACAAUGGCCGGUACAAAGGGCUGCGAUCCCGUAAGGGGGAGCGAAUCCCAAAAAGCCGGUCUCAGUUCGGAUUGGGGUCUGCAACUCGACCCCAUGAAGUCGGAGUCGCUAGUAAUCGCAGAUCAGCAACGCUGCGGUGAAUACGUUCCCGGGCCUUGUACACACCGCCCGUCACGUCACGAAAGUCGGCAACACCCGAAGCCGGUGGCCCAACCCUUGUGGAGGGAGCCGUCGAAGGUGGGGCUGGA